AUUGAACGCUGGCGGCAUGCUUUACACAUGCAAGUCGAACGGCCGCGCGGGCUUCGGCCUCGUCGCGAGUGGCGAACGGGUGGGUAAUUCAUCGGAACGUGCCCUGCAUAUGGGGAUAGGCUGGCGAAAGCCGGAUUAAUACCGCAUACGACCUGAGGGUGAAAGCGGGGGACCGAUAGGCCUCGCGCUAUUGGAGCUGCCGAUGUCGGGUUAGCUAGCUGGUGGGGUAAAGGCUUACCAAGGCGACGAUCCGUAGCUGGUCUGAGAGGCCGACCAGCCACACUGGGACUGAGACACGGCCCAGACUCCUACGGGAGGCAGCAGUGGGGAAUUUUGGACAAUGGGGGCAACCCUGAUGCAGCCAUGCCGCGUGCGGGAAGAAGGCCUUCGGGUUGUAAACCGCUUUUGUUCGGGAAGAAAACCUCUGGGCUAAUACCCCGGGGGGAUGACGGUACCGGAAGAAUAAGCACCGGCUAACUACGUG
This 484-nucleotide ribosomal RNA is filed under the name uncultured bacterium. RNAcentral's name for it is "partial 16S ribosomal RNA". It matches the Rfam family "Bacterial small subunit ribosomal RNA", at positions 28 to 507 of the family's 1533-position model. The record is from RNAcentral.